Non-coding RNA from Clostridium sp. CAG:288, 166 nucleotides. The record is from Rfam. NCBI's taxonomy places the organism in Bacteria, Bacillati, Bacillota, Clostridia, Eubacteriales, Clostridiaceae.
UCACUGUGUAGAGGCGCUUUUGAUAUUAGUAGUAGAUGGAGUUGACAAGCUUAGAAGUCUAUGAAAGGAGAUAAAGCCGAAAGGUUGAAUAGGUGUAUUCAAACCUUGGGUAAUUUCAAAAUAUGAAAUUAACUGUCACUUGAAAAAGUGGAGAGCUAUUGAGUGU